GAUGAACGCUGGCGGCGUGCCUAAUACAUGCAAGUCGAGCGAACAGACGAGGAGCUUGCUCCUCUGACGUUAGGGGCGGACGGGUGAGUAACACGUGGGUAACCUACCUAUAAGACUGGGAUAAGUUCGGGAAACCGGAGCUAAUACCGGAUAAUAUAUUGAACCGCAUGGUUCAAUAGUGAAAGCGGGUUUUGCUGUCACUGAUAGAUGGAUUCGCGCCGCAUUAGCUAGUUGGUAAGGUAACGGCUUACCAAGGCAACGAUGCGUAGCCGCCCUGAGAGGGUGAUCGGGCACACUGGAUCUGAGACACGGUCCAGACUCCUACGGGAGGCCGCAGUAGAGAAUCCUCCGCAAUGGGCGAAAGCCUGACGGAGCAACGCCGCGUGAGUGAUGAUGGUCUUCGGAUCGUAAAACGAUGUAAUUAGGGAAGAACAAAUGUGUAAGUAACUAUGCACGUCUUGACGGUACCUACUCAGAAAGCCACGGCUAACUACGUG
RNAcentral lists this ribosomal RNA (497 nucleotides) under uncultured bacterium. RNAcentral's name for it is "partial 16S ribosomal RNA". It matches the Rfam family "Bacterial small subunit ribosomal RNA", at positions 28 to 507 of the family's 1533-position model. The record is from RNAcentral.